Molecule: unclassified non-coding RNA, 381 nt
Filed under: soil metagenome
Description: partial contains 5.8S ribosomal RNA, internal transcribed spacer 2, and large subunit ribosomal RNA
Rfam family: 5.8S ribosomal RNA (bases 1-120)
Source: RNAcentral
GAUGAAGAACGUAGCGAAAUGCGAUAAGUAAUGUGAAUUGCAGAAUUCAGUGAAUCAUCGAAUCUUUGAACGCACCUUGCGCUCCUUGGUAUUCCGAGGAGCAUGCCUGUUUGAGUGUCAUUAAUAUAUCAACCUCUUCAGCUUAUGCUUGUUGAGUGUUGGAUGGUGGGGGUUUGCUGGUGUCUUAUGAAGUCAGCUCCUCUGAAAUGCAUUAGCGGAACAAUUUGUUGACCGUUCAUUGGUGUGAUAAAAAUAUCUACGCUAUUGACGUCAGUCAGUUCAGCUUCUAACAGUCCAUUGACUUGGACAAAUUUUUCAUUAAUGUGACCUCAAAUCAGGUAGGACUACCCGCUGAACUUAAGCAUAUCAAUAGGCGGAGGA